This 507-nucleotide ribosomal RNA is filed under the name uncultured bacterium. Its description in RNAcentral is "partial 16S ribosomal RNA". It matches the Rfam family "Bacterial small subunit ribosomal RNA", at positions 28 to 507 of the family's 1533-position model. The record is from RNAcentral.
GACGAACGCUGGCGGCGUGCCUAAUACAUGCAAGUCGAACGCAUUUUCUUUCACCGUAGCUUGCUACACCGAGAGAAAAUGAGUGGCGAACGGGUGAGUAACACGUGGGUAACCUGCCCAACAGCGGGGGAUAACACUCGGAAACAGGUGCUAAUACCGCAUAAUUCCAAUUACCGCAGGGAAGUUGGAUGAAAGGCGCUUUUGCGGCACUGUUGGAUGGACCUGCGGUGCUUUGGCUAGUCGGUGGGGUAACGGCCUACCAAGGCUGCGAUGCAUAGCCGACAUGGGUGGGUGGUGCGCCACACUGGGACUGGUGACCGGCCCCAACUGCUCCGGGAGGCAGCAGUGAGGCAUCUUCGGCGAAGGAGGGAAGUCUGACCGAGCAACGCCGCAUGAGUGAAGAAGGGUCUCGGAUCGGAAAACUCCGUUGUUAGGGAAGAACAAGGAUGAGAGUGGAAACUUCAUCUCUUGACGGUAACUAAGCAGAAAGCCACGGCUAACUACGUG